AGAAAGAUAAAGCUAAAAUUAAGCUAUUGGGCCCAUACCCCAAAAAUGAAUGUUUAAAACCCCUUCUCUUACUA
RNAcentral lists this transfer RNA (74 nucleotides) under Petitella bleheri (rummy-nose tetra). RNAcentral describes it as "tRNA-Met". Lineage: Eukaryota; Metazoa; Chordata; Actinopteri; Characiformes; Acestrorhamphidae. The record is from RNAcentral.